GACGAACGCUGGCGGCGUGCUUAACACAUGCAAGUCGAACGGUGAAGGGACUGGUUUUGCUGGUCCUGGAUGAGUGGCGAACGGGUGAGUAACACGUGAGUAACCUGCCCCCUUCUUCUGGAUAACCGCAUGAAAGUGUGGCUAAUACGGGAUAUUCUGGGUCUGUCGCAUGGUGGGCCUGGGAAAGAUUGCGCCUUUUUUGGUGUUUUUGGUGGGGGAUGGGCUCGCGGCCUAUCAGCUUGUUGGUGGGGUGAUGGCCUACCAAGGCGGUGACGGGUAGCCGGCCUGAGAGGGUGGACGGUCACACUGGGACUGAGACACGGCCCAGACUCCGACGGGAGGCAGCAGUGGGGAAUAUUGCACAAUGGGCGCAAGCCUGAUGCAGCGACGCCGCGUGAGGGAUGGAGGCCUUCGGGUUGUGAACCUCUUUCGCCAGUGAAGCAGGCCUGCCUCUUUUUGUGGGUGGGUUGACGGUAGCUGGAUAAGAAGCGCCGGCUAACUACGUG
RNAcentral lists this ribosomal RNA (506 nucleotides) under uncultured bacterium. RNAcentral's name for it is "partial 16S ribosomal RNA". It matches the Rfam family "Bacterial small subunit ribosomal RNA", at positions 28 to 507 of the family's 1533-position model. The record is from RNAcentral.